This 371-nucleotide ribosomal RNA is filed under the name uncultured bacterium. Its description in RNAcentral is "bacterial SSU rRNA". It matches the Rfam family "Bacterial small subunit ribosomal RNA", at positions 527 to 896 of the family's 1533-position model. The record is from RNAcentral.
GAAGGGUGCAAGCGUUACUCGGAAUUACUGGGCGUAAAGCGUGCGUAGGUGGUUUGUUAAGUCUGAUGUGAAAGCCCUGGGCUCAACCUGGGAACUGCAUUGGAAACUGGCUUACUAGAGUGCGGUAGAGGGUAGUGGAAUUCCCGGUGUAGCAGUGAAAUGCGUAGAUAUCGGGAGGAACAUCUGAGGCGAAGGCGACUACCUGGACCAGCACUGACACUGAGGCACGAAAGCGUGGGGAGCAAACAGGAUUAGAUACCCUGGUAGUCCACGCCCUAAACGAUGCGAACUGGAUGUUGGGAGCAACUUGGCUCUCAGUAUCGAAGCUAACGCGUUAAGUUCGCCGCCUGGGAAGUACGGUCGCAAGACUG